Non-coding RNA from Anopheles epiroticus, 115 nucleotides. NCBI's taxonomy places the organism in Eukaryota, Metazoa, Arthropoda, Insecta, Diptera, Culicidae. The record is from Rfam.
CAGAGGUGUAGUUCUGUAAAAGGGUUGGAUCCGACGCCUUUUGGAGGCUACUAUAGGCUCUCCUUCCCAACUCCUACUCAAUACGUCCACGUCGUGCAGAACGGUAACUUGUCGC